CAGUAGCCACGGGAACACGUAGGGUGCAAGCGUUAAUCGGAAUUACUGGGCGUAAAGCGUGCGCAGGCGGUUAUAUAAGACAGAUGUGAAAUCCCCGGGCUCAACCUGGGAACUGCAUUUGUGACUGUAUAGCUAGAGUACGGCAGAGGGGGAUGGAAUUCCGCGUGUAGCAGUGAAAUGCGUAGAUAUGCGGAGGAACACCGAUGGCGAAGGCAAUCCCCUGGGCCUGUACUGACGCUCAUGCACGAAAGCGUGGGGAGCAAACAGGAUUAGAUACCCCCGUAGUCCCUGUCUCUUAUAC
RNAcentral lists this ribosomal RNA (301 nucleotides) under uncultured bacterium. RNAcentral describes it as "partial 16S ribosomal RNA". It matches the Rfam family "Bacterial small subunit ribosomal RNA", at positions 509 to 807 of the family's 1533-position model. The record is from RNAcentral.